GGCUUGUUGAUAAUGAUUUCAAGUCUGACCUGCCCACUGAGUAGUUAAAUGGCCGCGGUAUACUGACCGUGCAAAGGUAGCAUAAUCACUAGUUUUUUAAUUGGAAGCUUGAAUGAAAGGUUUGAUGAGAAAAUUUCUGUCUCUGUAAAAAUUUAUUAGAAUUUUAUUUUUAAGUGAGAAAGCUUAAAUUAUUAUAGAAGACGAGAAGACCCUAUAGAGUUUUAUACAGAAGCAAGAUAUUUUAAUUAGCCUUGUAUUUUUUUGGGGUGACAGAUAAAUUAAAUAAACUUUUUUUACAUGGGAACAUUUAUUUAUGAGUUGUUGAUCCUAGAUAUUAGAUUAUAAGAUUAAAUUACCUUAGGGAUAACAGCGUAAUCUUUUUUAGAGCUCUUAUCGAAAAAAGGGAUUGCGACCUCGAUGUUGGAUUAAAAUUAAUUAUUGGUGUAGAAGCUGGAAGUAUAUUAGGUCUGUUCGACCUUUGAAAUUUUACAUGAUCUGAGUUUAAACCGGCGUGAG
RNAcentral lists this ribosomal RNA (516 nucleotides) under Trigonopterus sp. 921 AR-2022a. Its description in RNAcentral is "partial large subunit ribosomal RNA". It matches the Rfam family "Archaeal large subunit ribosomal RNA", at positions 1911 to 2694 of the family's 2987-position model. Lineage: Eukaryota; Metazoa; Arthropoda; Insecta; Coleoptera; Curculionidae. The record is from RNAcentral.